Molecule: ribosomal RNA, 250 nt
Filed under: uncultured bacterium
Lineage: Bacteria
Description: partial 16S ribosomal RNA
Rfam family: Bacterial small subunit ribosomal RNA
Source: RNAcentral
GACGAAGGGGGCAAGCGUUGUUCGGAAUUACUGGGCGUAAAGGGCGCGUAGGCGGCCUGAUGAGUCAGACGUGAAAGGCCUGGGCUCAACCUGGGAAUUGCGUUUGAUACUGUUGGGCUUGAGAGCGGGAGAGGAUGGUGGAAUUCCCAGUGUAGAGGUGAAAUGCGUAGAUAUCGGGAGGAACACCUGUGGCGAAAGCGGCCUUCUGGACUGUACCUGACGCUCAUACGCGAAAGCUAGGGGAGCGAAC